This 274-nucleotide ribosomal RNA is filed under the name uncultured bacterium. Its description in RNAcentral is "partial 16S ribosomal RNA". It matches the Rfam family "Bacterial small subunit ribosomal RNA", at positions 523 to 796 of the family's 1533-position model. The record is from RNAcentral.
AUACGGAGGGUGCGAGCGUUAAUCGGAAUUACUGGGCGUAAAGCGUACGUAGGCGGUUGGUUAAGUUAGAUGUGAAAGCCCCGGGCUUAACCUGGGAACUGCGUUUAAAACUGGCGAACUAGAGUUGAGUAGAGGGGAGUGGAAUUUCAGGUGUAGCGGUGAAAUGCGUAGAGAUCUGAAGGAACACCAGUGGCGAAGGCGACUCCCUGGACUCGAACUGACGCUGAGGUACGAAAGCGUGGGUAGCAAACGGGAUUAGAAACCCGGGUAGUCC